Molecule: unclassified non-coding RNA, 167 nt
Organism: Chelonoidis abingdonii (Abingdon island giant tortoise)
Lineage: Eukaryota; Metazoa; Chordata; Testudines; Testudinidae
Source: Ensembl
UGGAAACAGUGGAUUUCAUUCUCACAGAACAGGAACAACAUAGCCAGUGGCAGUACAACUUUUCUACAUUGCCCUGCCAAUAUACUUCAACCCUGAGCUGACCUGCAGAAAUCAUCUUUAAAGUAAGAGGUUUUUACAAUGAAGUACUUAUUCCAGUAUUACCAACG